CCUACGGGAGGCUGCAGUGGGGGAUAUUGGACAAUGGGGGAAACCCUGAUCCAGCGACGCCGCGUGAGUGAAGCAGUAUUUCGGUAUGUAAAGCUCUAUCAGCAGGGACGAAAGAAAUUACUGUACCUGAGUAAGAAUCCCCGGCUAACUACAUGACAGCCACCGCGGUCAUCCGUAGGGGGCAAGCGUUAUCCGGAAGUACUGGGUGGAAAGGGAGCGUAGACGGUGAUGCAAGGCUGGUGUGAAAGGCGUGGGCACAACCACCGGACUGCUUUGGAAACUGGGUAACUUGAGUGCAGGAGAGGUAAGCGGAAUGUCUAGUGUAGCGGUGAAAUGCGUAGAUAGUAGGAGGAACACCAGUGGCGAAGGCGGCUUACUGGACUGGAACUGACGUUGAGGCUCGAAAGCGUGGGGAGCAAACAGGAUUAGAUACCCGGGUAGUC
This 443-nucleotide ribosomal RNA is filed under the name uncultured bacterium. RNAcentral's name for it is "partial 16S ribosomal RNA". It matches the Rfam family "Bacterial small subunit ribosomal RNA", at positions 338 to 795 of the family's 1533-position model. The record is from RNAcentral.